AGCGAACGCUGGCGGCAGGCUUAACACACGCAAGUCGAGCGGGCAUCCUUGUGGUGUCAGCGGCAGACGGGUGAGUAACGCGUGGGAACGUGCCCUUCGGUUCGGAAUAACUCAGGGAAACUUGAGCUAAUACCGGAUACGUGCGAGAGCAGAAAGGUUUAUCUGCCGAAGGAUCGGCCCGCGUCUGAUUAGCUAGUUGGUGAGGUUAUGGCUCACCAAGGCGACGAUCAGUAGCUGGUCUGAGAGGAUGAUCAGCCACACUGGGACUGAGACACGGCCCAGACUCCUACGGGAGGCAGCAGUGGGGAAUAUUGGACAAUGGGGGCAACCCUGAUCCAGCCAUGCCGCGUGAGUGAUGACGGCCUUAGGGUUGUAAAGCUCUUUUCUCCGGGACGAUAAUGACGGUACCGGAGGAAUAAGCCCCGGCUAACUUCGUG
Molecule: ribosomal RNA, 437 nt
Filed under: uncultured bacterium
Lineage: Bacteria
Description: partial 16S ribosomal RNA
Rfam family: Bacterial small subunit ribosomal RNA
Source: RNAcentral